This 573-nucleotide ribosomal RNA is filed under the name Shewanella sp. RNAcentral describes it as "bacterial SSU rRNA". It matches the Rfam family "Bacterial small subunit ribosomal RNA", at positions 361 to 926 of the family's 1533-position model. Lineage: Bacteria; Pseudomonadati; Pseudomonadota; Gammaproteobacteria; Alteromonadales; Shewanellaceae. The record is from RNAcentral.
AUAUUGCACAAUGGGGGAAACCCUGAUGCAGCCAUGCCGCGUGUGUGAAGAAGGCCUUCGGGUUGUAAAGCACUUUCAGUAGGGAGGAAAGGGUGUAGUUUAAUACGCUAUAUCUGUGACGUUACCUACAGAAGAAGGACCGGCUAACUCCGUGCCAGCAGCCGCGGUAAUACGGAGGGUCCGAGCGUUAAUCGGAAUUACUGGGCGUAAAGCGUGCGCAGGCGGUUUGUUAAGCGAGAUGUGAAAGCCCUGGGCUCAACCUAGGAAUAGCAUUUCGAACUGGCGAACUAGAGUCUUGUAGAGGGGGGUAGAAUUCCAGGUGUAGCGGUGAAAUGCGUAGAGAUCUGGAGGAAUACCGGUGGCGAAGGCGGCCCCCUGGACAAAGACUGACGCUCAUGCACGAAAGCGUGGGGAGCAAACAGGAUUAGAUACCCUGGUAGUCCACGCCGUAAACGAUGUCUACUCGGAGUUUGGUGUCUUGAACACUGGGCUCUCAAGCUAACGCAUUAAGUAGACCGCCUGGGGAGUACGGCCGCAAGGUUAAAACUCAAAUGAAUUGACGGGGGCCCCCCA